RNAcentral lists this long non-coding RNA (5591 nucleotides) under Physcomitrium patens. RNAcentral describes it as "long non-coding RNA (PPAT_LNC006289)". The record is from RNAcentral. Lineage: Eukaryota; Viridiplantae; Streptophyta; Bryopsida; Funariales; Funariaceae.
UUUAGAAGAAUUUGUAGAAGCAUUUAGAGAAUAUGACAAGGUCCAAUAGAUAAUAAUAAAGAUUUGUUCAUUGUAUCAAAGAUUACCCUCUGUAUUAGUUUAUAUACUUGAUUUUAGGCAAUUGGCUUGUGACAUCAAUUAGAAUGAAUAAGCUCUUAUGAACCAAUUCUAUUGGAGACUAACAAAUGAUAUGAAAGAACUAUUAUUAUUAUUAUUUGAUCUUUAAAUAAUCAAUGAAGUUAUCAACCUUGCUGAAAAGUGUGAUAAUCAAUUAUUUCAAUUCUAUCAAGAUCAAUGCUUGUGGAUUUUGACAAAGCAACACUUUAGAAAUUUGUACUUUGUUGCUUCAACUAAUAUAUUACUUUCACACUUUAAAGCUGAGGAUAUGAAAAUUGAUGCAGUAUAAUUCAAAUUUCUUAUAAUAGAGGAGAAGAAGCACCAAUUUGAAUGAGGCCUAUACUUGUAUUAUGGUGAAAGAGGCCACAAAUUUAGAAAUUAUUAAAAGAAAUAAUAUAUAGCUAGAAUUAAGAGUGCAAUUGUUUAAGAAAAUAAAGAGAUCUAAUCACAAUAAAGAUCAUGAGGAUGGACAUUCUAACAAAUCAAAUUUAUCAAGGUUCAUUUUUUUAUCUAACUUGCUCAUUAUUUUAUCAUACUUUUAAUUCUUGAUCUACAAAAACUUCAAAUUAAUGUUUUAUUAGAUUCAAGAGCAUUUUUUUAUUUUUUAGAUGAAGAAUUUUUUAAACUUCAUAAAAAAAUUUUAAUACAAAAAUAAAAACCUAUAUAUGUGGAAGAAAUAGAUGAUCAACCUUUAUCUUUAGAUAAUAUUAUUUAUGAGACUAUAUUACUAGAAAUAUCAUUUGAAGGCCAUAGUAGAAAAAUAACAUUUAAUAUUAUUAAAAUUCAAUUUAAUUCCAUCAUUUUAGGACUUUUGUGAUUAGAAAGAUAUUAUCUAUCUAUAAAUUGGAGGUUUUAUAAGAUUGAAUUUCCUAUAGAACUCUUCUGAAUAAAACCUAUCAAAAAGUCAUCAACAAAAAAACUCUUAUUUCUAAGAGCAAGGACUUUUAUGAAGACGGUAUCAAGAAGGUGAGCCUCUUCAAGAAAAUACAAGGUCCUUGAUUACAAGUGGAUUAUAAAAAGCACAAUAUUUUUCAAAUGAAGUCAAAUACAAAAAGAUAGCCAAAGGCCAACUACAAAAUUUAGACUAAUUUCUUUCUUAUAUCAAGAUAUAUCUAACUCCUAAUUCAAAUCUUAAAUCCAUACCUCAACUUAUUAAAAUACUUAUAAUUCACUUAUUACUAAUCUAAUCUAGGUAAAAUUUAGCUUGUUGAGGUUAACUCAAGCUAUAAACUUCAUAUUGUCAAAGUCCAUAAAUAAUAUCUUGUAGAAAUGAAAUCUAUACUAAGGAGAAAAAAGAAUUGGCUGCUUGUUGAAAUUAUUGCUUCAAAAUCCUUGUCUACAAAUUAGCUUGGAUCUCCCUCAUCAUAGCUCUUCUUUUUGCAUACUAAGAUUUAUUAGAAAGCUAAUAAUGAAUUCUAGUUUUUCCUAAAUUUUCAAAAUAAAAUAAAAUAAAUCUAAUAAAUAGCAUAGAAAGAUCCAAACUAGUCUUGAAUUUUGCUACCCGAAAGCUCUAGCAUAUCCCCUCUAAUAAAUUCAUGUGAAUAUCCCUCAUCACAACUCUUCUUCUUGUAUGAAAUAGCUUAUUAGGAAGCUAACAAUAAGAUCUAGUUUCUCUCAAAUUUUGAGAAUAAAAAAAAGAAAAUUCAAAAAAAUACCAUAAGAAACUUCAAACCAAUCUUGAAUCUUGCCUCCUCGUGAAAACUCCAAUAACCCCUCUUUUCUUUCUUUUUGAUCCUAGCCCCUUCUUAGUUUCAAAAAAAAAAAAAAAAAAAAAAAAAAAACUUGAUACCAAAAAUCCCUAUUACUAAUUCUCUCCCAAUAUCCCUCUUAAACCAUUAUAGAGCUAGAUAUUUAUCCUAAAAACAACCCUCUAGCUUGAAUAAUCCAUUCAAGUUAUCAAUUUCAUAUUUCUAAAUUCUAUUCAAAUUAUAAAUGUAUUACUAUUAUAUUCUUCUUUUUUCUUCCUAUAAGUAAAAUUAAUUAUCUACUAAAUAUCUUUGAUGUAUUUAAAUUAAGUGCAUCAUGACAUUUACCCCCUUCAGACCUAUACAAAUCCUUGUAUGUGCCAAAGAAUUUGACCACAAUACUUCUGCCAUUAGAAUUAGAGUCAUUAGGAGCCAUAUCACUUUUUAAUCAUUGAUUUAAAUAUUAAAGCUCAAAAACUCUAAAUCCUCUACAUAUUUCAUUCUAUCUUAUUGCUUCAAGAUUUUAAUUUGCUUUCUUAUAAUCUUUGUCUUCAAUGGUAUCCCAUCUAACUCUCAAAAAGAAUAAGUUUCAUUUUCAUAUACUUCAACCACCACAUAGGAUCCAAAUCAAUGCCGUGCAAACUUACAAAUAGUAGAGUAUUUGUGCAUCAAACUACUAUCAUAAACCAAAAUCCAAUCACCUUCUUUAAUUGGCUUAGGCCUCAAUCAAAGAGUUUUAUCAAAUCUUUCUUUGUUAUUCAACCUUGUUGCUUUAAGCCUCUCUAUAGCAACUUGAUAAUUUGAGCAAACUUUCUAAUUAGCUAAUUUGAAGCUCCAAAAUUUUUUUUCUAUUAAUGCCAUCUUUUCAAGAAAAAAAUAGAUUCUUUUGUAGGCAUUAAGGACUUUUGCUCCAACAUCAAUUUUACUUGCAUAUAGCUAGUAAUUGUGCUAUGAAUAGUUCUAUCUAUCCAUAAAGUAAAUGAUAAAAGCCUAGGCUAUAACCUUCAUUGACUCUUAUAUGCUUUAAUCAAAGUUUAAAUAAUUGAAGGGUACCUCCUUUCACUCUUAUCAUUAACUUCAAGAUUAUAAGAAGUGAUCAAUUUCAAUUGCAUCUCAUACCUUAUAAAAAAAUCAUGUAUCUUUGCGACAUCAAGUUUACCUCAAUUUUCUCUCAUUCUUCUAAUACUACCAUAGUGAUAUAUAAUAUCCUCCAAAAUAAAUUGACAUAGACUUUGACCUCAAUGUCUUUUCUUUUACAUAAUUAGAAAGAUCUUCUCUUGCCAAAAUUAAAUACUUUAUGGUCUAAAGUCCCAUUGAUAUAGCAACUAAGUCAAUCAUCCAUUGAAAAUGAAUAACAAGUAGAUAGGUAGGGCAUAAACCAUCUCUAUACUUCACCUUGGAUUUACAAUUGGUAUUUUUUAUAAGAAUUUACAAAUUCUUCUAUAUUUUUAUAUAAAUCCUUCUACCAAUAGUGUUCCUUGAUCUUAGUAUAUGUAGCUCAAAUUUCUCUAUGUCCAAUCCACAAUGUAUCAUAAAAUUCUCCCAUUACCUUGUAUUCAGUCUCCAAAUCAUCCACUAUUCUCAAUGAUACACCAUCUCUUUUUUUUGGCCUCUUCUACAAGAAUCCAUCAUAUAAAAGAUAGUUGUAGGAUUGGUGCCUAAUAUUCUUAAAGAUCUUAUCCAACUAAUCUUCUUGCUUCGUUGUAGUGCUCAAAUACAAGUCAUCGUCUUUCAACCUCUUUUCAAACAAAUUAAUUCUAAAGGGUAGAACUUCAUCACCUUGGUCUUAUCUACUUGUGGCAAAUGCAAAGCCUUGUACCAAGUCUCCAUCUUCCUCUUGUGCAAGCAUUUUUUUCUCCUUUGAGUACCUAACUCUAGAUAACAUAUCCACUAUCAAACUCUUUUUGUCUAUGAUGAGCACUAAAAUAGGUUUUAGAGACUUAAUAAAAAAAAUUCAUCUAACCAUAGUAAUAUUUGGUAUAGUACAAUUAAAAACCAUUCCAAUUAGACGCGAGCAAUUAAUUUCUAAUACCACAUGCACACCUAUUAAGUAAUUUUUCUUAGUCUUCAAUGUGGUGAGUGUACUCCAAAGCUCUCUUUUUACCUAUAGAUAAGCUCUUUACUUCUUGGUAAAAAUCCUUAGUCCAAAGCUAAUUGUAAACUAAUUUCUUUCCUUAUCAUCUUGUCUAAUAAUCUAUCCAAUGGCUAUGGGACUUGUAUCAACUGUAACUAUUACCAGUCUUCCAUAAUUAUAGUCUACUUGCCUUAAUAUUGGUAGUAAUUUCAAAACCACCUUUAAUUCAUCCAUGGCCAUCUCUUAUUUCUCACGCCAUAUAUAUAUAUAUAUAUAUAUAUAUAUAUUUAAUAAUUAAUACAAAGGCUCUGCAAUAUGAACAUAAUAGAAAAUCCAUAUUUGAUAAAAUAUACAAGCAUCCAAAAAUCUUCUUACCUUGGUGGUGCUCCUACAUACUUUCAUCUUUGCUACAACAUUUAUCUUCUCUAGGUUUAGUUUCCUUCUAUAGCUUCUAUAUAAAUGUCUAAUAAUCAUAAUUUUUUAAAAUCCAAAUGUAAAUUUUUCAAGAGAUGAAGUGAAAUUUACCUCCUUAAAUUUCUUUAAAAUGCAAUCUACAUCUUUAAUAUGUUCUUUUACAAAUAUAUGACAUCCAUCCUCUUUCAAAGUUAAAUCUUUAGUUUCUUCUUUGCAACCCUUGAUUGGAACAUCAUCUAAUAAAGAUAUGAUAUUUUCUAGCACAAGCCCCUUUAAAAUUUGAUUCAUUGCAUUUUGUAUAUGAACCAUUGAAUUAAUUGCACCUUCUGGCAAAGUAUACAUACGCUCUAGAUCCAAAAGAAUUUUCAUACUAGUUGAUUCUUUAUUCUCUUUUGCUAAUUGAAAUUGAUCAUAAUCCAAAUAUAAAUCUCCACUACAGUAAAUAGUGUGCCCUGCAAAAACUUUUACUACUUCAUCUAUCAGUAAUCUACACCCCAUAUUCUUAAUAGUCACCUUAUUGGUCAAUUGCAUGUCUUAAAUGAAUCUAAGUGCCAUAGAUUUCUUUGGCACAAUGAACCAUCAAUUGAAAUAAGGUACAAUAGAUGGUUCAAGGAUGUCUAUCUUGACCCUUUCUUUUAAUAAAUCUACCAAUUUAGGAAGCUAAGUCUUUGGCACUAGAAUAGGCUUCAAGUUCCAAGGCACAUGUAGAAUAGUAAAAAUAACCAUAGGUGCUACUAUAUUAGAAUCUAUACAACUAAUUUCUUUCGCUGCAAAUACAAAAGCCUUACCAUAUUUGGAGAACAUCUCUAGUAACUUCUUCUUCUCCAUCUCAGUCAAAAAUUCAUCUCCUUCAAUCUUCAACUUAUCCAAAGACUCUUUAGUAAACUUAUGACCAAUCUUUCUUGACUCCCUCAAUCUCGGCUCCAUGGUAGCUUAUUUAAUAUGCUCUUUGGUAUCUUGAGACAAUUGAGUUAUCAUGGGCUUCACCUUCUUAGCCACGGUCUUAUACUUAGUAUACAGUAUAGCUUCUUGUAAUAUCACAUGGCUAUCAACUAUUCCAAGCCUCUUAGAAAAUUCAAAAACCUCCUCAUAUAAUUAUCUUAAAUGAAGCUUUACAACAUCAUUAGCUCUAUUUUUAUUCAUAUGUAAAGUAAUUCUUCUAAAACUUUUAUAUUAUCAUUUUCAAGUCCUUCUUCUUCAAUAAUACCUAAAAUACAUUCAUUACUUGAAAUUAUACCAAUUUUUUUUAAAAAAAUCUCAUAUUUCUUUACCUAAUUUUUAUACAUAUGAUCCAAGUUUUC